RNAcentral lists this long non-coding RNA (610 nucleotides) under Drosophila guanche. Lineage: Eukaryota; Metazoa; Arthropoda; Insecta; Diptera; Drosophilidae. The record is from RNAcentral.
GUGUGGGUGCCGUGUUGGUCCAGGUUAACCAGGAUGGCGAUGAAGUACCCAUAGCAUUUAUGUCUCGCAAGCUUAACCAAUGCCAGAGAAACUACUCUGUCACAGAAAAAGAAUGUUUGGCAGCUAUUCUAGGCGUUAAGAAGUUUAGAGCUUAUGUCGAGGGUCAAGAAUUCUCUAUAAUUACGGACUAUGCUUCCCUAAAAUGGCUAAUGUCACAGUCAGACCUAAGCUCGCGGUUAGCUCGUUGGGCAUUAAAACUGCAAGGUUUUGAGUUUAAGAUAACACACCGUAAGGGUACCCAAAACGUUGUGCCGGACGCACUGUCCCGUACUCAUAAUGAUGAUUUAUCCGAAAUAAGUCUUGGCACGAUUGUGGAUCUGGAUUCGGAAUACUUCCGUUCAGUCGAGUAUAAUAAUCUGGCCGAUAAGAUAGAAGCGAACCAGUCCCACACGCCCGACAUUAAGGUAGUUGAUGGAUACAUUUACAGGCGAGCUGAGCAUACCACAGGAGACAAGAUUGCAGACGAUUUAUGUUGGAAAUUAUGGAUUCCAAAGGACAUGGUUCCGGAAAUUCUCAAAUCCGCUCAUGAAUCUCCCUUGUCUUCCCACGC